GCAUUUUGGGAACGAGUGGAAUUCUGGGAGCUAGGCCCGCCAUUCGCUUGACUCACGCCUUCGCCGUAGCAUCUUUCGCAGCGCAUCGAAGAGAAGGAAAAGUAGGCCAGAGCCGAACUCUCUUCCUGCCAAGAUGUCUAUUGGUGUGCCGAUUAAAGUACUGCAUGAGGCCGAGGGCCACAUUGUGACAUGUGAGACGAACACCGGUGAGGUAUAUCGGGGGAAGCUCAUUGAAGCAGAGGACAACAUGAACUGCCAGGUAUUCUGCUUUGCAUGUGAGGCUGUGUGGGAGGAAUGGCCCUGUGUCUUGAAGGACAGAAAAGUGUGGGUUGAGGGUCUCUGGAAAUUGUUCUCAUUCAUCAGUGAUUUCCUAAGUGCCUAAUGCAUACCAGUCAGGUGCUGUUAUAGGCUCUUUGGAUGUGGGCAUGAACGAGACACUUAGUCUUGAGACAGAAAAGCCAUUUGGAGGUUUGGAAUAUUUUACUUUGUCAUUUUUGUUUUUUCCAUCCCCAAAUUUGGGGGUCUGUUUGGGAGAAGUGCUACUU
This 545-nucleotide small RNA is filed under the name Pongo abelii (Sumatran orangutan). RNAcentral describes it as "retained intron". Lineage: Eukaryota; Metazoa; Chordata; Mammalia; Primates; Hominidae. The record is from RNAcentral.